Non-coding RNA from Caenorhabditis elegans, 178 nucleotides. The record is from Ensembl. NCBI's taxonomy places the organism in Eukaryota, Metazoa, Nematoda, Chromadorea, Rhabditida, Rhabditidae.
AAAAAAUCAAGCUACCGUAUAUUUUUCGACAAAUGAUUGGACGAAAAAUUGGACGAAAAAUGUGAAAAAGCUAACGGUACGCCUCCGGCGCGCGGGCGCGCACCGCCCGCUCCGACAAAACGAUAUAGUAAAUCCAGAAGAACUAAGGGGAGGAGGUGGCUGUUAUUAUAUUAUAUAU